Molecule: transfer RNA, 88 nt
Filed under: Pseudomonadota bacterium
Lineage: Bacteria; Pseudomonadati; Pseudomonadota
Also listed under: 3 other names
Description: tRNA-Leu
Rfam family: tRNA
About the family: Transfer RNA (tRNA) molecules are approximately 80 nucleotides in length.
Source: RNAcentral
GCCUGGGUGGCGGAACUGGUAGACGCAAGGGACUUAAAAUCCCUCGAAACCUGGUUUCAUGCGGGUUCGAUUCCCGCCCCAGGCACCA